Molecule: small RNA, 857 nt
Filed under: Didymella glomerata
Lineage: Eukaryota; Fungi; Ascomycota; Dothideomycetes; Pleosporales; Didymellaceae
Description: eukaryotic LSU rRNA
Rfam family: Eukaryotic large subunit ribosomal RNA
Source: RNAcentral
UCAAUAAGCGGAGGAAAAGAAACCAACAGGGAUUGCCCUAGUAACGGCGAGUGAAGCGGCAACAGCUCAAAUUUGAAAUCUGGCGUUUCGGCGUCCGAGUUGUAAUUUGCAGAGGGCGCUUUGGCAUUGGCAGCGGUCCAAGUUCCUUGGAACAGGACGUCACAGAGGGUGAGAAUCCCGUACGUGGUCGCUAGCCUUUACCGUGUAAAGCCCCUUCGACGAGUCGAGUUGUUUGGGAAUGCAGCUCUAAAUGGGAGGUAAAUUUCUUCUAAAGCUAAAUACUGGCCAGAGACCGAUAGCGCACAAGUAGAGUGAUCGAAAGAUGAAAAGCACUUUGGAAAGAGAGUUAAAAAGCACGUGAAAUUGUUGAAAGGGAAGCGCUUGCAGCCAGACUUGCCUGUAGUUGCUCAUCCGGGUUUCUACCCGGUGCACUCUUCUAUAGGCAGGCCAGCAUCAGUUUGGGCGGUUGGAUAAAGGUCUCUGUCAUGUACCUCUCUUCGGGGAGAACUUAUAGGGGAGACGACAUGCAACCAGCCUGGACUGAGGUCCGCGCAUCUGCUAGGAUGCUGGCGUAAUGGCUGUAAGCGGCCCGUCUUGAAACACGGACCAAGGAGUCUAACAUCUAUGCGAGUGUUUGGGUGUCAAGCCCGAGCGCGUAAUGAAAGUGAACGGAGGUGGGAACCCUUCGGGGUGCACCAUCGACCGAUCCUGAUGUCUUCGGAUGGAUUUGAGUAAGAGCAUAGCUGUUGGGACCCGAAAGAUGGUGAACUAUGCUUGAAUAGGGUGAAGCCAGAGGAAACUCUGGUGGAGGCUCGCAGCGGUUCUGACGUGCAAAUCGAUCGUCAAAUUUGGGCAUA